GACGAACGCUGGCGGCGUGCCUAAUACAUGCAAGUCGAACGCACAGUUUAUACCGUUGCUUGCUACACCAUAAACUGUGAGUUGCGAACGGGUGAGUAACGCGUUGGUAACCUGCCUGGUAGCGGGGGAGAACUAUUGGAAACGUAAGCUAAUACAGCAUAAUAUUAAUUAUUGCAUGAUAAUUGAUUGAAAGAUGCAAUUGCAUCACUACCAGAUGGACCUGCGGUGUAUUAGCUAGUAGGUGAGGUAACGGCGCCCCUAGGCGACGAUACAUAGCCGACCCGAGAAGGGGGUCGGCCACACUGGGACUGGGACACGGCCCAAACUCCUUCGGGGGGCAGCAGUAGGGGAUCUUCGGCAAAGGACGGAAGUCCUACCGAGCAACGCCGCGUGGGUGGAGGAGGUUUUCGGAUCGGUAAGCCCUUGUGUAAGGGAAGAACGAAUGUUGGAGUGGAAUGUGCACGUCUUGACGGUAUCUUACCAGAAAGCCACGGCUAACUACGUG
RNAcentral lists this ribosomal RNA (505 nucleotides) under uncultured bacterium. RNAcentral describes it as "partial 16S ribosomal RNA". It matches the Rfam family "Bacterial small subunit ribosomal RNA", at positions 28 to 507 of the family's 1533-position model. The record is from RNAcentral.